This 587-nucleotide ribosomal RNA is filed under the name uncultured bacterium. RNAcentral describes it as "bacterial SSU rRNA". It matches the Rfam family "Bacterial small subunit ribosomal RNA", at positions 338 to 916 of the family's 1533-position model. The record is from RNAcentral.
CCUACGGGAGGCAGCAGUAGGGAAUCUUCGGCAAUGGACGGAAGUCUGACCGAGCAACGCCGCGUGAGUGAAGAAGGUUUUCGGAUCGUAAAGCUCUGUUGUAAGAGAAGAACGAGUGUGAGAGUGGAAAGUUCACACUGUGACGGUAUCUUACCAGAAAGGGACGGCUAACUACGUGCCAGCAGCCGCGGUAAUACGUAGGUCCCGAGCGUUGUCCGGAUUUAUUGGGCGUAAAGCGAGCGCAGGCGGUUAGAUAAGUCUGAAGUUAAAGGCUGUGGCUUAACCAUAGUACGCUUUGGAAACUGUUUAACUUGAGUGCAAGAGGGGAGAGUGGAAUUCCAUGUGUAGCGGUGAAAUGCGUAGAUAUAUGGAGGAACACCGGUGGCGAAAGCGGCUCUCUGGCUUGUAACUGACGCUGAGGCUCGAAAGCGUGGGGAGCAAACAGGAUUAGAUACCCUGGUAGUCCACGCCGUAAACGAUGAGUGCUAGGUGUUAGACCCUUUCCGGGGUUUAGUGCCGUAGCUAACGCAUUAAGCACUCCGCCUGGGGAGUACGACCGCAAGGUUGAAACUCAAAGGAAUUGACGG